Molecule: long non-coding RNA, 704 nt
Organism: Syngnathus typhle (broad-nosed pipefish)
Lineage: Eukaryota; Metazoa; Chordata; Actinopteri; Syngnathiformes; Syngnathidae
Exons: 2
Source: RefSeq, a predicted model, not a curated record
GAGUUUGUGACCCGAUCUAGAGAAAGACUAUGGCAGAGGAAACUAAGAGGAACUGUGGCAGUGCAUGAGGGUGUCUGGAGUGGCAGAAAAGUAUGUUUGAUGAGCACAGUGUCGUUGUCAUGGUGAUGCCAUGAGUGAGGAAAGAGAUGGAGAGGAUGCAGAAGAUAGGCAUGGAAAAAGAAAAUCAUGUCAGUACUUUCGCGUCGACCUGGGAGUGGCGCAUCUGUCUGUGGGUGCAUGUGACCACAAGGGGGCACUGCAGGUGUACGACGUGAACGCGCAGCACGCACUGGAGCUCCUCAGAGCGCCUCAACAGCAGAGCGCAAUUCAUCCUGAUUGGGAGCGCGCACACACCAGGGUUCAUAAGCAGCAAAGAACCCGAUCCUCUGGUCCAGUGAGCAGCAGCAGCAAACAACACAAUCCUUUCGAUCAGCCAGCAACACAGCAGUAGCAGCGAACCGCACUGAGCUCCACGGAGAAAGGAAGAAAACUCAUGGGAAGAGGAGACCAAAGGGACUACCGGAAAAAGAACUGAACUUUAUCUACAUGGUUUAUUGGUUUAUGUGUUAAAGAACACUAAGCUGCAUUGUUUUAUUUGGAAGAAAAUUGUACCUUUUUGUUUAAACUAAUCCAUUUUUUGAAUGAGUUUAAAGGUUUUUCACCUUGAUUGUUUCGCUCAUUAAAAACCCGAACUAAGAGUGAAA